AGUGAACGCUGGCGGUAGGCCUAACACAUGCAAGUCGAACGGCAGCACAGGAGAGCUUGCUCUCUGGGUGGCGAGUGGCGGACGGGUGAGGAAUACAUCGGAAUCUACCUUUUUCGUGGGGGAUAACGUAGGGAAACUUACGCUAAUACCGCAUACGACCUACGGGUGAAAGUGGGGACCGCAAGGCCUCACGCGAUUAGAUGAGCCGAUGUCCGAUUAGCUAGUUGGCGGGGUAAUGGCCCACCAAGGCGACGAUCGGUAGCUGGUCUGAGAGGAUGAUCAGCCACACUGGAACUGAGACACGGUCCAGACUCCUACGGGAGGCAGCAGUGGGGAAUAUUGGACAUGGGCGCAAGCCUGAUCCAGCCAUACCGCGUGGGUGAAGAAGGCCUCGGUUGUAGGCCGUUUGUCGGAAUGAAGUCCUAUCGGUUAAUAACCGGUGGGCAUGACGGUACCCAAAGGAAUAAGCACCGGCUAACUUCGUGCCAGCAG
This 492-nucleotide ribosomal RNA is filed under the name uncultured bacterium. Its description in RNAcentral is "bacterial SSU rRNA". It matches the Rfam family "Bacterial small subunit ribosomal RNA", at positions 29 to 514 of the family's 1533-position model. The record is from RNAcentral.